UUUAGAGUUUGAAUCUGGCUCAGAUUGAACGCUGGCGGCAGGCCUAACACAUGCAAGUCGAGCGGAUGAAGGGAGCUUGCUCCUGGAUUCAGCGGCGGACGGGUGAGUAAUGCCUAGGAAUCUGCCUGGUAGUGGGGGAUAACGUCCGGAAACGGGCGCUAAUACCGCAUACGUCCUGAGGGAGAAAGUGGGGGAUCUUCGGACCUCACGCUAUCAGAUGAGCCUAGGUCGGAUUAGCUAGUUGGUGGGGUAAAGGCCUACCAAGGCGACGAUCCGUAACUGGUCUGAGAGGAUGAUCAGUCACACUGGAACUGAGACACGGUCCAGACUCCUACGGGAGGCAGCAGUGGGGAAUAUUGGACAAUGGGCGAAAGCCUGAUCCAGCCAUGCCGCGUGUGUGAAGAAGGUCUUCGGAUUGUAAAGCACUUUAAGUUGGGAGGAAGGGCAGUAAGUUAAUACCUUGCUGUUUUGACGUUACCAACAGAAUAAGCACCGGCUAACUUCGUGCCAGCAGCCGCGGUAAUACGAAGGGUGCAAGCGUUAAUCGGAAUUACUGGGCGUAAAGCGCGCGUAGGUGGUUCAGCAAGUUGGAUGUGAAAUCCCCGGGCUCAACCUGGGAACUGCAUCCAAAACUACUGAGCUAGAGUACGGUAGAGGGUGGUGGAAUUUCCUGUGUAGCGGUGAAAUGCGUAGAUAUAGGAAGGAACACCAGUGGCGAAGGCGACCACCUGGACUGAUACUGACACUGAGGUGCGAAAGCGUGGGGAGCAAACAGGAUUAGAUACCCUGGUAGUCCACGCCGUAAACGAUGUCGACUAGCCGUUGGGAUCCUUGAGAUCUUAGUGGCGAAGCUAACGCGAUAAGUCGACCGCCGGGGA
RNAcentral lists this ribosomal RNA (878 nucleotides) under Pseudomonas aeruginosa. RNAcentral's name for it is "bacterial SSU rRNA". It matches the Rfam family "Bacterial small subunit ribosomal RNA", at positions 1 to 878 of the family's 1533-position model. Lineage: Bacteria; Pseudomonadati; Pseudomonadota; Gammaproteobacteria; Pseudomonadales; Pseudomonadaceae. The record is from RNAcentral.